GUGCUUGCUACGGCUGCACAUAUACUAAAAUUAGAUCGAUACAGAGAAGAUUAGCAUGGCCCCUGCGAAAGGAUGACACGCAAAUUCCAUAUUUUGUUCUUUUUU
Small nuclear RNA from Denticeps clupeoides (denticle herring), 105 nucleotides. The record is from Ensembl. Lineage: Eukaryota; Metazoa; Chordata; Actinopteri; Clupeiformes; Denticipitidae.